RNAcentral lists this transfer RNA (70 nucleotides) under Myotis davidii. It matches the Rfam family "tRNA". From Rfam's summary of the family: Transfer RNA (tRNA) molecules are approximately 80 nucleotides in length. The record is from Rfam by way of RNAcentral. Lineage: Eukaryota; Metazoa; Chordata; Mammalia; Chiroptera; Vespertilionidae.
GCUGGUUUGGCUCAGUGGAUAGAGCACCAGCCUACAGACUGAAGUGUCCCAGGUUCGAUUCCAAUCAGCA